UGGGCGGCCACGUGUUACUCAUCC
RNAcentral lists this non-coding RNA (24 nucleotides) under Arabidopsis thaliana (thale cress). Lineage: Eukaryota; Viridiplantae; Streptophyta; Magnoliopsida; Brassicales; Brassicaceae. The record is from RNAcentral.